Molecule: ribosomal RNA, 497 nt
Filed under: uncultured bacterium
Lineage: Bacteria
Description: partial 16S ribosomal RNA
Rfam family: Bacterial small subunit ribosomal RNA
Source: RNAcentral
GAUGAACGCUGGCGGCGUGCCUAAUACAUGCAAGUCGAGCGAACGGACGAGAAGCUUGCUUCCCUGAUGUUAGCGGCGGACGGGUGAGUAACACGUGGAUAACCUACCUAUAAGACUGGGAUAACUUCGGGAAACCGUAGCUAAUACCGGAUAAUAUUUUGAACCGCAUGGUUCAAAAGUGAAAGACGGUCUUGCUGUCACUUAUAGAUGGAUCCGCGCUGCAUUAGCUAGUUGGUAAGGUAACGGCUUACCAAGGCAACGAUGCAUAGCCGACCUGAGAGGGUGAUCGGCCACACUGGAACUGAGACACGGUCCAGACUCCUACGGGAGGCAGCAGUAGGGAAUCUUCCGCAAUGGGCGAAAGCCUGACGGAGCAACGCCGCGUGAGUGAUGAAGGUCUUCGGAUCGUAAAACUCUGUUAUUAGGGAAGAACAUAUGUGUAAGUAACUGUGCGCAUCUUGACGGUACCUAAUCAGAAAGCCACGGCUAACUACGUG